GAUCCACUGGGCGUAAAGGGCGUGUAGGCGGCUUUGCAAGUCAGGGGUGAAAUGUCUCGGCUCAACCGAGGACCUGCCUUUGAAACUGCGGAGCUUGAGGCCGUGAGAGGAGACUGGAAUUCCUAGUGUAGCGGUGAAAUGCAUAGAUAUUAGGAAGAACACCAGUGGCGAAGGCGAGUCUCUGGCACGGUUCUGACGCUGAGGCGCGAAAGCCAGGGGAGCGAACGGGAUUAGGUACCCCGGUAGUCCUGGCCGUAAACGAUGGGUACUAAAUGUCGGCCGAUCGACCCGGUCGGUGUUGCAGCUAACGCGUUAAGUACCCCGCCUGGGGAGUACGACCGCAAGGUUG
RNAcentral lists this ribosomal RNA (349 nucleotides) under uncultured bacterium. RNAcentral's name for it is "bacterial SSU rRNA". It matches the Rfam family "Bacterial small subunit ribosomal RNA", at positions 548 to 896 of the family's 1533-position model. The record is from RNAcentral.